Molecule: unclassified non-coding RNA, 431 nt
Filed under: plant metagenome
Description: partial contains 5.8S ribosomal RNA, internal transcribed spacer 2, and large subunit ribosomal RNA
Rfam family: 5.8S ribosomal RNA (bases 1-102)
Source: RNAcentral
AAACUGCGAUAAGUAGUGUGAAUUGCAUUUAGUGAAUCAUCGAAUCUUUGAACGCACCUUGCACUCACUGGUAUUCCGGUGAGUACGCCUGUUUCAGUAUCAUUGAAAACACACAAUCAAAACAUUUUCUUUGGUUUGAUUGGCUUUGGGUCUAUCAAAAAGUUUGGCUUGUUUCUUACAAGCCAAGCGGCCUGAAAUAUAUUGUCUGGCUAAUUGCAUCGUUGAUGAUCGCUAUUAGACUUUGGCUUUUUUAAAUGAACUGGAGGUUGAUUAACCAGUUUUAGCUUUAGUCAAAUGGUCAUUGUAAAAAAAAUCUCGAUCUUGGCUAGGUGUUUAUAGCCGAAAAUUUUUUUUUGGCUAUAAUCGAAACCAAUAUAAUCACAUUUAGUUAUCGAUCUGAAAUCAGGUGGGACUACCCGCUGAACUUAAGC